RNAcentral lists this ribosomal RNA (662 nucleotides) under uncultured eukaryote. Its description in RNAcentral is "eukaryotic LSU rRNA". The stretch from base 229 to 383 matches the Rfam family "5.8S ribosomal RNA". The record is from RNAcentral.
UUCCGUAGGUGAACCUGCGGAAGGAUCAUUCGCACAUAAUCCAAUUCAUCUUUGUGAAUACUUCUGUGGGCGAUGGUGUGGGCGAGCGCCUUCGGGCACCACCAUGCCAGAUCCCACGGGCGGCUAGGUGGGUAAUAGAGAUAUCUUCUCUUGAACCCGCUGCCGUCAUUUGCCACUCGGCAUUCGGUAAACUGUCUUUCGUCAAUGGCUUCUGCCUUAACUCUUUACAACUUUCAGCGAUGGAUGUCUCGGUUCGAUCAACGAUGAAGGGCGCAGCGAAGUGCGAUAAGCAUUGUGAAUUGCAGGAUUCCGUGAACCGACAGGGACUUGAACGCAUAUUGUGCUUUUGGGAUAUCCCUGAAAGCACGCCUGCUUCAGUGUCUGUGCUUUAUAAUUCCAGCACUGGCAGUCACUUCGGGUGGCGCGGUGCUGCGAGUACUCGUGUCUCGAGGAAGCGCGCUUCGACACAUCUUUCGUUUGGGCGCUCUCGAGGCAUUGGAAACACAAGACUGUGCGAUGCAGAAACCAGCUUACUGAUCGCUUCGGCGUUUGAUUCGUUGGGGUUUGCUCCAAAGCCUUGUAAUCAGCUCAGCUUGGCGUUUCGGCGACAAGCUUCCAUGACAUGAAGUCAGGUUGGCAAACCCGCUGAAUUUAAGCAUAUC